GAUGAACGCUGGCGGCGUGCCUAAUACAUGCAAGUCGAGCGAACAGACGAGGAGCUUGCUCCUCUGACGUUAGCGGCGGACGGGUGAGUAACACGUGGAUAACCUACCUAUAAGACUGGGAUAACUUCGGGAAACCGGAGCUAAUACCGGAUAAUAUAUUGAACCGCAUGGUUCAAUAGUGAAAGACGGUUUUGCUGUCACUUAUAGAUGGAUCCGCGCCGCAUUAGCUAGUUGGUAAGGUAACGGCUUACCAAGGCAACGAUGCGUAGCCGACCUGAGUGGGUGAUCGGCCACACUGGAACUGAGACACGGUCCAGACUCCUACGGGAGGCAGCAGUAGGGAAUCUUCCGCAAUGGGCGAAAGCCUGACGGAGCAACGCCGCGUGAGUGAUGAAGGUCUUCGGAUCGUAAAACUCUGUUAUUAGGGAAGAACAAAUGUGUAAGUAACUAUGCACGUCUUGACGGUACCUAAUCAGAAAGCCACGGCUAACUACGUG
This 497-nucleotide ribosomal RNA is filed under the name uncultured bacterium. Its description in RNAcentral is "partial 16S ribosomal RNA". It matches the Rfam family "Bacterial small subunit ribosomal RNA", at positions 28 to 507 of the family's 1533-position model. The record is from RNAcentral.